RNAcentral lists this ribosomal RNA (393 nucleotides) under uncultured bacterium. RNAcentral's name for it is "partial 16S ribosomal RNA". It matches the Rfam family "Bacterial small subunit ribosomal RNA", at positions 338 to 729 of the family's 1533-position model. The record is from RNAcentral.
CCUACGGGCGGCAGCAGUGAGGAAUAUUGGUCAAUGGCCGAGAGGCUGAACCAGCCAAGUCGCGUGAGGGAAGACUGUCCUAUGGAUUGUAAACCUCUUUUGUCAGGGAGUAAAGUCACCCACGUGUGGGUGUUGGAGAGUACCUGAAGAAAAAGCAUCGGCUAACUCCGUGCCAGCAGCCGCGGUAAUACGGAGGAUGCGAGCGUUAUCCGGCUUUAUUGGGUUUAAAGGGUGCGUAGGCGGGUUAUCAAGUCAGCGGUAAAAUCGUGGAGCUCAACGGCAUACAGCCGUUGAGACUGAUGAUCUUGAGUGGGCGUGAGGUAGGCGGAAUUCGUGGUGUAGCGGUGAAAUGCAUAGAGAUCACGAAGAACUCCGAUUGCGAAGGCAGCAUAC